Molecule: ribosomal RNA, 497 nt
Filed under: uncultured bacterium
Lineage: Bacteria
Description: partial 16S ribosomal RNA
Rfam family: Bacterial small subunit ribosomal RNA
Source: RNAcentral
GAUGAACGCUGGCGGCGUGCCUAAUACAUGCAAGUCGAGCGAACAGACGAGGAGCUUGCUCCUCUGACGUUAUCGGCGGACGGGUGAGUAACACGUGGAUAACCUACCUAUAAGACUGGGAUAACUUCGGGAAACCGGAGCUAAUACCGGAUAAUAUAUUGAACCGCAUGGUUCAAUAGUGAAAGACGGUUUUGCUGUCACUUAUAGAUGGAUCCGCGCCGCAUUAGCUAGUUGGUAAGGUAACGGCUUACCAAGGCAACGAUGCGUAGCCGACCUGAGAGGGUGAUCGGCCACACUGGAACUGAGACACGGUCCAGACUCCUACGGGAGGCAGCAGUAGGGAAUCUUCCGCAAUGGGCGAAAGCCUGACGGAGCAACGCCGCGUGAGUGAUGAAGGUCUUCGGAUCGUAAAACUCUGUUAGUAGGGAAGAACAAAUGUGUAAGUAACUAUGCACGUCUUGACGGUACCUAAUCAGAAAGCCACGGCUAACUACGUG